CUCUUAUGGAUUUCGAUACUAAUUACAACUCAGUCCCACAUUUCUACUGGUCCCAUGGCUUGAUAUCAGAUUCUACUUACAAUCUUUUCUCUUCCAAGUGCAAUUAUUCUCGAAUGAACAGAGAGCAGACAUCUGGUUCUUUAUCACCUGCUUGUUUAGCUGUACGAAGCCAAUAUUCACAAGAAGUUGGUGACUCUGUUGACCGGUUUGAUGUCACUCUUAACUCCUGCUUACCAUCUGUUGAUCCACAACCGGUGAGGUUAACAUUAUCUCAAUAGUGCUCCACCAUUAAAAUACACUGCAAUUAAUUUCAUCACCAUGAUAAUUUACUUUUUUUAGUAGGAAUUUGCACAAUUUUGCUUUAGUUUGUACAUGACUUUGCUUUCGGCCUAUGCAGCAAGUCACAGAGAAUGUGGAUGUUUGUAUAGGAGACGAAGUAAACAAGUAUUUCAAUAGGGAAGAUGUGCAGAAGUCUCUCCAUGCUAGACUAGUUGGAGUCGCCAACUGGAGUAUGUGCAGCGGGUAAAAUUCAAUCUACAAUGGACCUCUACUACAUAACCAACUUUUUUUCUAGCAUCCAUAUUUGCUUUUUCUUUUUCUCUUACCUUUUGCUUUUUAAAAUUGCGAUUUCAUGGAUAUAAAUUGUUUUUUUUUUUAAUCUCCAUGUUACAGUGCUCUUAGAUACAAUAUAAAAGACAAAGAGAUAACCAUGAUUCCUGUCAUGGGCUCCCUUGUCAAGUCUGGUAUCCGGACCUUUGUUUACAGGUAAUGUUACAUGAUACAUAUGGGCGCUAUUUUUUUUCAUUAUGAUUCAAAAUAGUGAUAGUAAUACUUAAAAACCUCUACAGUGGAGAUCAAGAUUCAGUAAUCCCACUAUUUGGAACUCGGACUCUGGUGGAUGGAUUGGCGAAGGAGUUGAGACUGAAUACCACUGUGCCUUACAGAAAUUGGUUUGAGGGAGAACAGGUCGGCUUCUAUACAUGAAUAUGAGAUUAACUUCAUAAAUCACUUCAAGUUUCAACUGCUUAAUUAAAGAUCGGAUGAUUCAAAUCUCAUUCAUGAUGGUUUUUCUUCUGUUUUUCUAGGUUGGUGGAUGGACGCAAGUUUAUGGUGACAUCCUAUCCUUUGCCACCGUGAGAGGAGGGUCACAUACAGUGCCGGGUACACAACCAGCCAGAGCACUAGUUCUGUUCACUGCAUUUCUAAAAGGACAACCCCCACCAGCUGAAUGAACGGAUCAAAUUCACGGAUAAGAACUAUAGGUCAUUAUGUAUUACUAGAUAACAGAGGAUGUCUCUUCAUAUUGUGUUCAGAUAUUAAUGCAUUUCCUUUUAGAUUAGAUCAAUGCUCUUCACAUCCUCAUUUUCCAUGCAUUUAGCAGCAUCUCAGGUAUCAGAACGGCAAAUUUGCAUUUAAAAUCCUGUGAUUAUUGUAGAGGACUUCAGUUGGAACACUCGGAUUAGAAUUAGAAGCAGAAUUUUUUCGUAAAGAGAAGGAUAAACUGCUAACUAUAAGCCUAAACCAAACCAUAAAGCUUAUCAGCCCAUAACUAGCACUAUAUGGGGGAUCAAUAUUCCAAGCCUAAAAUUAAUGGCCCAUGCACAACACCUAAUAUCCUAACCAAACAACAGCCUUUUCUUUCCUAGCCCUAAAACCCUUGUUCUUCAAUCUCACGACCACUCUCUUGUUUUCACACCCUUGGAUCUCAACUUCGGGAGGAGACGAUGCAACAUGAAGCAAACCACGAUUUUAUGGCUUUAAGAAUAUGGUGGAAGAAAGCUCUGAUUGGCAGAGAAUAGCAGCACCGACUUGCACUCUUCUAGAGAUUUAGAAAUAGGUUGAAAUUUGAUACACUUCUUAAGAUGUAUUAUGUAAUUUUUUCAGAAAAAAAAAAAUCUUUGGUUGACUUUUUCGAAGAAAAAUUCAAAGCAUAUUAUAUAAUAAAAUGAAUAUUAUACUAAAGAACGAUAGAUUAAUUUGAUUGUUUAAGUUUCUCGAAUUAAUCAACAUUGGUGGUAUCUAUAAGAGAUCGAAGACACCAUCAUCCUAGCUACAUCACACGCCAAAGGUCUCCAUUCAGCUGUCUCUCUCUCUCCAGAGUCCAGAGACGUCUGUCUCAUCAAAGCCCUGAAAUCCCAGUCAUAGAUGGAAUGUUAUACUUAUUAUAAUAAUAGCCACAACAUGUACAACUCCGUUAUGCUCAACAAUGGAGACACUCUGCAAGCCCACGUCAGUUUUCAACAAUUUUCUGGAUAUGUAACCAUAGAUGGAAAGCAACACAGUGCUCUUUUCUAGUAAUUUGUUGAAGCAGAAAAUGACGUGGAGGCGGUUUCACCUUUUCUUCUUGUUAGUUGUUACGGGGAGGAAUAUUUUUUCUAUAUGAAUCUCUAUCAGUUUGUAUUAAAAAAUAGUGUGUUAGAAAGUUGUGUGACUUUGUUUUACGGCCAGCUUAUGAUUCAAAUAUGCAGAAAGCCACAGAGGAUGUAGAUGAUUGCUGCUUGCAUAUACAACAAAACAACGAAGUGACCAAGUGUUUUUAAGCAGGAAAGACGUGCUUAAAGCUUUCUGCAUUAACUAAAAAUAUAAUUUACUUUGAAUCUGUGACUAAAAAUGUUGUUUCAUAGUGAUUUUAUAAAAUAUUUUUAAUAUUUUUGAUAUUUGAAAAUUUUUGUUAUUUAAAUAUUAAAAAUGUUAAAAAUAUUUUUUAAAAUCAGUGUGCAAGUGUAACUCUAAUAAUUAUCACAAUUCAUGGGGAGAAUGGAGAUCAAGAUUCAAUUUUGUCCCACCAUUUGGGAGUCGGACUCAGGUGAGCGAAUUGGCCAAGGAAGCUUCAGGUGCGCGUCGAGCCUCGCUCCAGUGCGCGUCGCGGCGCGCUUCAGGUGCCCGUCGGGGCGCGCUUCAGGGUAAGCUUCAGGGUCAUGUCGAGGCGCGCUCAGGUGAGCGAAUUGGCCUAGGAACGCUUCAGGUGAGCGUCGAGCCUCGCUCCAGUGGGCGUCGCGGCGCGCUUCAGGUGAGCGUCGGGGCGCGCUUCAGGGUCGUGUUGAGGAGCGCUCAGGUGAGCGAAUUGGCCAAGGAAGCUUCAGGUGCGCGUCGAGCCUCGCUCCAGUGCGCGUCGUGGCGCGCUUCAGGUGCGCGUCGGGGCGCGCUUCAGGUCGCUUCGGGGUAAGCUUCAGGGUCUUGUCAAGGCGCGCUCAGGUGAGCGAAUUGGCAAGGAACGCUUCAGGAGCGCGUCGCUGUAAGCUUCAGGGUCGUGUCGAGGCGCGCUCAGGUGAGCGAAUUGGCCAAGAAACGCUUCAGGUGUGCGUCGAGCCUCGCUCCAGUGCGCGUCGCGGCGCGCUUCAGGUGAGCGUCGGGGCGCACUUCAGGGUCGUGUUGAGGAGCGCUCAGGUGAGCGAAUUGGCCAAGGAAGCUUCAGGUGCGCGUCGAGCCAUGCUCCAGUGCGCGUCGAGCCACGCUCCAGUGCGCGUCGAGGCGCGCUUCAGGUGCGCGUCGGGCCGGCUUCAGGUCGCUUCGGGGUAAGCUUCAGGGUCGUGUCGAGGCGCGCUCAGGUGAGCGAAUUGGCCUAGGAACGCUUCAGGUGCGCGUCGAGCCUCGCUCCAGUGCGCGUCGCGGCGCACUUCAGGGUCGUGUUGAGGAGCGCUCAGGUGAGCGAAUUGGCCAAGGAAGCUUCAGGUGCGCGUCGAGCCUCGCUCCAGUGCGCGUCGAGGCGCUCUUCAGGUGCGCGUCGGGGCGGCUUCAGGUCGCUUCGGGGUAAGCUUCAGGGUCGUGUUGAGGAGCGCUCAGGUGAGCGAAUUGGCCAAGGAAGCUUCAGGUGCGCGUCGCGGCGCGCUUCAGGUGCGCGUCGGGGCGCCCUUCAGGUCGCUUCGGGGUAAGCUUCAGGGUCGUGUCGAGGCGCGCUCAGGUGAGCGAAUUGGCUUCAGGUGCGCGUCGAGCCUCGCUCCAGUGCGCGUCGAGGCGCGCUUCAGGUGCGCGUCGGGGCGCGCUUCGGGGUCGUGUCAAGGCGCGCUUCGGGGUCGUGUCAAGGCGCGCUUCAGAGCGAGGCGGCUACCCCGAAAGGGAUACGCGUCAGGGUUCGAGAAUGGAUGAGGCACGCUUCCGGUGCCCGCUUUUCAGACCUGGAGGGUGGACGCGUCAGUCUGAAUGUGGUUGAACAAAAAAUGAAAUGGAUGCAAAGCAAAUUUUACAUUUGUUUUUUUAUAAGAACUAUACAUUUUAUGUAAAGGUUUUAUAUUUUAUGUAAAAUAUAGAAAGUAUAUCCACUUGUCACCUUAGUUUUUCUUCAUUAUAUUAGGUAAUAAAAAAUUUAUGCAAUUAAAUUAUUGAUUUUUUUCACUAGCAAAAAUGUUAUAUGAUUGAAUUAUUAUUAAUCUUUUUAAAAUAGUAAAAAAAUGAAAGUGCGAAACCAUUACUCUUUUUUGUUUAUUAUUAUUAUUUUUUAUUUUUUAUAUGUUUUAAUAUUUACUAAUUAUGAGAAUUAAAAUUUUAAAAGCUUAGGCCCAAUGUCAAAUUGGGAAGCUAAAAUAUUUACUCUAGACUUUUAACUUCAAAAAUUUUGUAAGGGAGAAAAGGUCAUCAUCCCUAUCUAAAUUAAUAUUCUAAUUAAAAUGUUUUUAUUAUGUAAUAAUACUUUUGUAUUUCUAAUAAAAAUGCAUUUAAGAAAAAUUAACUAAAUUAUGUUUAGUUUCCAAAAUAUUGGAAGAGAAAUGUGAAGGAAAUUAAAAAAUAUAUUUAAAGUUAAUAAAUAGUUUUAAGACAUUACUUGAAAGUCAUUUCAUACAUUUUAAUUUUAUUGUAUAAAGAUUGAAUAAUUUGAAAAUGCAUAAAUUAUAUUAUGUUUGGUUCUUCAAAAAUUUAAGGAAAAAAAAGAAUAUAUAUAUAUAUAUAUAUAUAUAUAUAUAUAUAUAUAUAUAUAUAUAUAUAUAUAUAUAUAUAUAUAUAUAUUUUAUAAUUAAUAAAUUAUUUUUAUAUAUUAUUUUCAAUUUAUUUCACUUUUUUUUCUUGAUUAAAUAAUUAAAAUAUUUAAAAAUUUAUAAUUUGUUUUAAUUAUAUUUGAUUCUCCUUUUAUAUAUAUAUAUACACAGAGAACCGUUUUUUUGUUGUUGAGCACCUGCGCAUAUGUUCAGAGCAAACUCCAACCAUGCACUUGAACAAACAAUUGGACUAAGCUUGGGGAUGAAGAAAAUGGAGAUGUGGAUAGGAGCAUAGUGUGGCCCCGUUGGUUAAUAAGUGAUUGGGGGCAAGGGAACAAACACUUUGAUGGCACAUGGAGGAGCACUUACAAGGAAGAAUGAUACCGUACUUGAAUUUUAUGGAUGUAUCGGUCAAAUAUAGAUGAAUAUUCUAAUAGUGAGACGAAAAUGGUUUAAAAUUCAUUAAAAUACUUUAAUUUUUUUUUAAAUAAUAAAAUAAAUAAAAAUAUAUAUGUUAAAAUUAUUUUGUAAGUGCAAAUAACGUAAUUAUGAUGAAGGAUAAUAUUUAUAAAAAAAUUUAGAAAAAUUUAUCUUGAAUUCCUUUCAUAUAUUUAUAUUCAUCUAUUUUAAAAUUUUAAAACUAUUUUUUAUUAAAAACAUGUUUUAUUACAUUUUAAAUAAAAAAUAAAAUCCUUUUUAAGAUUUAUAUAAAAUGUUUUAUUUGAGAUUUAUUUUCUAAAAUUUUAUUAUAUGUGGUAACAACUUUUUAUUAUAGAUAUUAAUUUAUUUAAAGAAUUAAAAUUAUUAAAAAUUAUAUUAAUAGUUUAUCCUAUCAAAUUAAUUUAAAUUUAUAAAAUAUUAGACCUUUAUUAUUAUUAUUAUUAUUAUUAUUAUUAUUUACAUUUUAGCAAUUUUUGAAUACAUUUAUGUUUUCAAUAUUUUAAAAUGAAAAUAUUUAAAUUAAAUAAAAUUAAAAGGAUAAACAUAAAAAAUUUAAAGUGAAAUGAUAGUAAAAUUUUAAAAUAUGAUUAAUGAGAUAAAUGAUGAUAGAUUUAAUAUUAAAACUACAAUUCAUUUAAUUCAAAUAAAUGACCAUGUAUGAUUUUUUUUAAUAUUUAUAUUUUUUAUAUUUAAUUAUCAUACUUGUUAAGAAAAUUAUAAUGAUGGUUUUUCUACUUUUAGUAAUCAAUUAAAUAAAAUUUAAAAUAAAAUAAUUAGAAUUAAUAUAUUUAUUAAAAUAUUCUUAUAACAAUGAAGUUUAAUAUAUUGAUAUGUAUAUAUAUUAAGGCAAACUUGCCCCAACGGUGGUUAGACAUGAGUUCAAGCCUUUUUGACCCAACGAUAGUUAAUUGAUUGAAAUAUUGUGAAAAUUUAUGAAAAGUCGAUAUUUCGGUGAUAAUUCCAAAAUAUAAGCUAAAUUUCUCCUAAUUUUCGGUCCCUAUUGAAUCACUCUGACAAGUGAAGCGAAAUAUUGAUAAAAUUUCACUAAAAAUUUGCGAUAUUUCAAACAUUGGUUUCAAGCACACAUCAAGGCACGAUUCAAGAGACAAACCCAUCAAGGGAGGAAACAUGGAUGGGGCAUGCUUUAAGUGCACUUUUUACAUUUUGAGACGCGUGAGGAGUAAGCUUUAGUGUACUUGAACAAAAAAUUGAAAUGGAAAACCAACCUAUCUAUGAGUGUUUAGGUAGGUUGGCAAUUUCUGAUAAAAUUCCUAAGUGUCCCCUAACUUGGUUUAUAUUUUGUUCCCCUAUUUCUGGAUCGAUCCAAGUGCAGGAGUAAAUCGAUCCAACUAACCUAUUUUUAAGAUCAAUUUUUAGCCAUUGGAUUAAGGGUUUUAUUCUCAUUUAAAAUCAAAAUUUUCCCAUUUUUGGAAGUAAUGAUUGCAACAGCCGUGAGAGGAUUAUUUAUUUCCUCAUCAUUUUAAGGGUGUUUGCCUCCUAAGAAAAUCCCAUCCAAAUUUUCCAAGAAAUUUUUUUUUAAUGGAUUUUUUGAAAAUGAACAUGGGUUGAUUUCUAAAAAUUUAUCUCUCAUUCUCUUAGUUUUGUGCAAAAACUCAUUUUCUUCUUGUGUGAAUUCAAGAAGAGAUUGAGAUCAAGCUUGGUGCGGACUCCAAGUGUGUUCUGAAAUAAGAAAGUGAGAAGCUGAAAGUGAAGGUAUUAGUCAAGUAGUCUUUAAAGGAUUGAUUGACUUGAGGUAGGUAAAAUCUUGUAUUCAGUUUUGAUUCUUCAUAGUGAAUGUUUUCAAUUUUAUAGUAGGCCCAUGGUUUUUUAUCUUUUUGGAAGUUUUCCACAUUAAAACUUAGUGUCAAUUAUCUCUUUCUCUCACUCUACUGUUUGAUUUAUUUUCAGUUUUUGAUAUCAUUGGAUACUUAAGCAUAUAUGUUGAAUGGUAGAUAUAUGAGCUGAAAUAAGUAUGAUUAUCCAUGGAAUAUCUUCAAUUAUUUUUUUGUUUAUUUUGGUUAAUGGUAUCUUGUAGUAAAUUAAAAUGAGUUAAGGAGAUAAUUGUUUUUUUGAAUAAAUUUUAAUGAGUAUUGAAACAUUUGCAUGUGAAUUGCAUUUUAUAAAUUGUUGGGAGAGUGUUGGUGUAUACAUACUUGCUUGUGGUUUUUAUGCUUUGUUGAAAAGUUGUUGGAAGAGAAGUUUAUGGGCAUUGAAAAUUUUUAAGGUUAGGUAAUCCUUGUUGGGAAAUUUUUUUUAGUUCAACAACACUUAUUCACUCUCUCUCUCUCUCUCUCUCUCUCCCCCUCCCCUCCUUUCUAAGUGUAGUCCAUUAUUGAGAUUUACCUUUUCAAUUGACAUCUGAGUAGGUUUUUAAAGCAAAAAUCACUUUCUUGAAUCUCAAUUAUAGAACCUCAUCAAGAGGGAGCUUCCAUUGGGAGACCACCAAUCUUAACCGAUGAAAAUUAUUCUCAUUGGAAAGUGAGAAUGCAAUAUUUUCUCAAAAUGCAAAGUGAAAAAAGUUUGAAAUGCUGUUGAAUUUGGUUAGUCUCCACCUAAGGUAUUGGAUAGAGAAGAUAGACCAACAAAUGUUAUCAAGCCUAAGUCGGAAUGAGAUAGAGGUGAUAAUGAAGCUAGUGAGAACAAUGAUAGAGUCAUCUAUUCCAUCUUUAAUGCCAUUAACACAUAUGAAUUCCAUAGGAUAGCUACAUGUACUUUGGCUAAGGAGGCUUGGGACAUCCUCUAAGUGACUCAUGAAGGAACUAAUGUUGCGAAAGUGUUCAAACUUCAGAUGUUGACCUUUAGGUUUGAGACAAUUAGGAUGGAAGAUCAUGAAAACUUUGGAGAGUUUUAUGCAAAAUUGAUGGACAUUGUGAAUUCUAGCUUUAAUCUAAGUGAGCCCAUUCUUAACUCCAAAGUGGUUUCAAAAAUUCUAAGAUCUCUUUCGGAGAGAUUUAGAGCAAAAAUCACCGUCAUUGAAAAGUCCAAGGAUGUGGAUUCCUUAAAAGUAAAUAAACUUGUAGGUUCACUCCAAACCUUUAAAAUGACUCUUGGAUCACCUAGGAAAUCAAAGAGUAUUGCCUUAAAUACCAUUAAAGAUGAGUCCUUAGGUUCUAAAGGUGAGUGUGAUGAGAAAAUGUCGGAUGGAGAAGUUGCUAGAUUUGCUAGAAAAUUCAAAAAACACAUGAAGUUCAAGAAAUAUAAGAAGUCCAAGGAAAAUGCUAAAAAAUGGAACAAUUCAAUGGGAAAAUCAAAUGUAAAAGACAAAAAGAAAGACAAGAAUGUCAAAAAGGACCUUGAGGUUGAGUGCUUCAAGUGUGGGGAAAAGAUGCACUAUGUCAUCGAAUGUCCCUAAAAAAAAAAAAAAAAAAAAAAAGAAAAAAAAAGAAAGAAAGCCAUGUAAGUCAUUUGGAGUCACACAAAAUCAUGUUAAUCAAGCAAAAAAGAAUCAAAUGCAAGUGAGGAAUGCACUAAUUUCACAGCCUUUAUGGUAAGUGUCAUUGAGGAAACACUCAAGAAAGAAGUUUUUGGUGAGUCUUGUGAGUCAAGUGACUUUGAUGGUAAUGAGAUGAGUUUUGACUCUGCAUAUGAGACUUUGUACAAGGAGUGCUUAAGUCUAAAACAGAAACAAGUUGAGUGGAAGGCUUCUAGUGAGUCUUGUGAGUCAAGUUAAGUCUCAACUUGAGACCUGUGAGGCAUAAGCUUCAGUGUACUUGAACAAAAAAUCGAAAUGGAAAACCAACCUAUCCCUUCUCAACUUGUCUACGUUCCAUUCUUCUUUGCUUCAAAGUGAUCACAAGUAUUGCUCUCUUUCCUCGGUUCCCAUAUCAUUAUCAUUUUCUUUGCUUAUCUUCAUAUUCUCAUUUCUUGCUCUUUCUAUUCAACGACAAACAUUAUUUUCAUUUUAUUCUCUUCUUGUAUCUUUACUUGUUGUACCUUUUUUUCCGUUUAAAAGUUCGUUUGAAGGAGGAAGACUAGUUUGGGGUUUUUAAAUUGAAAUGAUGAUUCUGUCAUCACUUAAACCUUGUCACAUGUUCAACAUUAUGCAUAUUUUGUUCAUUAUAACUAACAUCAUCACACAAUACAAUAAAUGUAUGACAUGUAUUUAUGAAGUAUGAUGGGUACAUUGUUGAAUUUUAAAUGUAAAGGGGUAAUAUGAAAAACACACUAUUGGUUGAAGGUAAAGUGUAAUACACUCUUUUAUUUUAUAUGUUUUAAAAUAUUUUAUAUAUUUAUUAAUUAUUAAUUAUGAAGAUUAAAUUCAAGUCUAGGCCUUGUUUUACAAUGUUUUCUUAAAUUAGUUUUGAAAUUAAAGGAAAAAGAAAUAAUGUUUUUUGGUACUUUUAAAAAUGUGUUUAAUAAGCGUUUAAAAAAAAUAAUUUGUAAGAGCAAAAAAAAACACUUGGAUAAACAAAUUUUAGUUGUUUUUAAAAUUAAUUUUUAUAUUUUGAUUUUAUAAAAAAUUUGGAAAUUCAAAUUUUCAUAAUAUUAAUUAAAUUAAAUUAAAUUCAAGCCUUUUUAAAAUAAAAAAUGGUGUUGUAAUUAAAAAUAAUUGAUUUUAGUAAUAUGAUAAUAAAAACAUAAAUUAUAUAUAUAUUUAUUAAAGAUGAUACUAUUUUAGUAUAUAAAUAUUAAUAUUUUAUUAUAGUCAUAGUUUAUUCUCUUUUCCAGAACUGAUACUUCCAUUCAUCCUUGAGGAUGUCAGCAUCUUUUGCUUAGCCGCAGGUGAAGUUUGGAUUCUCUCUUUAUUGUUUACAGUUUGAGGGGUGUGACUUUGCUUUACAGCUGUCCAUCUUUUGAUUCACAUAUGGAGAAAGCCACAGAGGAUGCAGAUGCAACAAAACAACGAAGUGGUCAAGUGUGUCAACCGGAAAGACGUGCUUAAAGCUUUCUGCAUUAAGUGGAAAAACUUAAAAAAAUAAUCUUACUUUAUUCUGUUGAUGACUCAUUCUAAUACAUUAUUACCAUUCAUAGUGGAGAAUGGAGAUCAAAUUUCGAUUUUGUCCCACUAUUUGGGCGUCGGUGAAGGAAUUGGCAGGCGCGCUUCAGUGUGCAUCGGGGCGCGCUUCAGUGUGCAUCGGGGCGCGCUUCGGUACGCGUCGAGGCGCGCUUCGGUACGCGUCGAGGCGCGCUUCAGGUACGCGUCGAGGCGCGCUGCAGGUACGCGUCGAGCCCAAAAGGCAUACGAGUCAGAGUUCAAGACAUGGAAGAGGCGCGCCUCCGGUGCGCUUUUCAGACCUGGAGGGUGGAGGGUGGAGGGUGGACGCGUAAGUUUUGAUGUAGUUGAACAAAAGAUGAAAUGGAUGCAAGUUUCAGAAAAGAAUCCAAGCCCUUUCCAAGUCCCAACUCUUUUUCUCUCGUGGACGCCCCUCGCUCUUCUCUGCUUUCCCGUGGUUGCAGUGCAGGUUCUGCUCUCUCCUUUCUCUCCUCAUUUCGUUUUCAUUCUCUCUCUCUCUCUCUCUCUUCCUCUAUUUAUUUUUUUCCCUUUUAUGAAUUACAAUUUACAACAUAAAUGUCACUUAUUUUUAAUCCCGCAUUAUUGUGAUUUAUUGGCAAAAUAAAAGGAAAAAUUACUUAGUUAUGUAUGAUUUCCAUAUUUUACAAAUUUUUUUUUGUUUGCAAUUCAUGUGUUCAAAUUACAAAAAAAAAAAAAAAGUGUAAUUAAAUUAUUGUUCUUUUUAUAUAUAACUAAAAAUAAUGCAAUUCCAUCAUUAUCCUUUUUCUCAAGUAAUAAAAAAGUAUACAAUUUAAAUAUUAAUUUAAGUGAAAAAAUACAUUAUUUAGGUGAAUUUUUUUAUAAAUUUAUUUUUAAAUAUAUAUAUAUAUAUAUAUAUAUAUAUAUAUAUAUAUAUAUAUAUAUAUAUAUAUAUAUAUAUAUAUAUAUAUAAAAUGUAAGAGCACAUACCUUGUUUAUUUGAAAAUUUUCAAGUUCAAUUUUUUAAAAUUUUAAGAUUUUAAAAAGAGUUUUUAAGAUACAAAGUAAAUUUUGUAUUUUUUAUAAGAGCUCUUAUAUUUUGUUCAGAGGUUUUUAAUUUUAAAAAUAAAAUAGAAAGUAUAUUUAAAUGUCACCUUAGUUAUUCUUAAUUAUUUUGAUUUAUUAUGAAGUUUAUUAUUUUUUAUUUGUUAUUUUGUAUAUGUUAUAAAUUAUUUUUUAUAUUUACUAGUUAUGAAAAUUAAAUUAUCAAAAGCUUCGGAAUGUCAUCCUAGGACACUAAAAUGCCUAUUCUAGGCUUUUAACUUCAAAAAAAUGUAAGGUAGAAAGGGUUGACAUCCUAUCGAAAUAUGAAACAUGUUUAGGAAUGAUUCUAAUUAAAACCCUUUUAGUCCAUGACAUUUUUUGUUAAUAGUGUUUUCAUUAAAAAGGCAUUUAAGGAAAAUUACUUAGUGUUUGUGUUAGUGUUCAAACUCUUGAAGUUGGGUUUGCUACUAAUCUUGACUUAACAAUCCAAAGUAGUAAUUGAUUAACUUAUGCAUAUAAUCUCUUUAUAAAUUAAUAUCUGUAAUCUAACAAGGUGAAAGAUAACAACUUCUCAAGAUUACCUUUAUCAUCCUUGAGUUCCAAAUCAUCCUAUAAUAUAAUUAAUUAACAUAUCCUAACUCACAACGAGCUUAUAUCAAAUUUCACUAAAGAAACCAUUAUGGUCAUAAUUUACUUAAACACAUCUCCUUAGGAUUGCCCAAGGGGACAUAAUGUCUUAAUUUCAUAAUAUAUCAUAAUGCUCAUAUUGAAAAUACAUAUUGCUAUCAAAUUUCAUCAACAGUGAUCCAAUUUAUAGGGAAUAUAUAAUUACUUUAAGAUUUCACUCGUACGUCAAAGUCAUUGCUAACUUUGUUACAAACUCAAUAUUCUCUCAAGGUUCAUAAUAGUUUAAUAAAGUCAUAACUAAUCAAUAGUCUUACGUCAUGAUUCAACAUAAGUUUUAUCUAAUGUGUAACCGAACACACUAUUGUAUUUACCAUAGGAACCUCAUCCUAGUGGGUAAGACCGGUUAUUUUUUUAAUUAGGAGGUAAUGCAUUACAACCUAUAAUGAAUUGUCUAAGUCCAUGAAUUGACCUCUAAAUAAAUCAUCUAUUUGUAAAGAACUAAUGACUUGAAUCUUCCCGUACAACUUUUAAUAUAUCAAAGUCAUGCAAAAUACAAGAAAUAUAAGUCAAAAUACUCAUAAGAUAAAAUGUAUGAAAUAAGAAUAGAUUAAAAUGCAACGGAAACUUUAUUAAAUAAAUUAUAAACUUUAAAUUUGUUGUAUCAUAUCAUACUUUUCAGGACUCUUAAUAGAUGUGUUAUUAUUCAUAUAUUCCAAAAACAGUAUCAUAAUUUAUUUUCUUGUCUAUGUUGAUCAUGACCUUAUCAAUACUAGUAACCACUUAAGCUUUACUUCUCAUUUCAUUGCAAGCCUCUCAUUAUAGUUCUUCGUGAAGGAUCUUAGAGAUCUACAUGACUUCCUUGAUGUUAAGGUUGUCCCUACUACCAAAUGUAAUGUUUCUACCUCUACAUAAAUACAUUUGGAACCUCCUACAACCUCACCAUAUAUCAUAAUCCAAUGUAGUGAACAUUCCAUUAUCAACCUUAACACCUUUGGUUCACUAUGAUGGUACUCUUUCCUAUAACCCAACGCAAUAUUGACAAGUGGUUAGAACCGAACCCUCUAAUCUUCAGCCGUGCAAAUGGCAUCUUCUUUGUUGUAAACAAGUUAUCUUAAGUCAUGCAUUAACCAACUCAUACGCAUUGUUCAAUUGCCACCUACCUACCUAUGUACCAAUCUAAUUUUUCACUCUCGUGUAUAAAACAUGUUGCUAUUGAUUUUCAUUUUGUUCACGAUAAGGUUUUUGUCGGCCAACAUUGUGCGUCUCAUGUUUCCACUCAAGACCAAGGAGGAAAAAAUCGGCGAAAUAUCGCCGAUAUAUCGCGUGUCGGCGGGUGGCGAAACGACACAUGGAGGAGAUAAGUCGGCCAGGCGAUUUUUCGCAAAAAAUCGUCCCCCUCUCUCCAGCGUGAUCUGACGGCCCAGAUCACGCCCGUGUUGAUCCAACGCCCAGAUUUGAAUCCCAACGUUAACAAAGAGAUCCAACGGCCAGAUUGCUUCCAAAUUGUGAUCCAACGGCCAAAAUUAAUUUUAAACGGUAACUUAAGCUUUCAACGGCUAUUUUGGCCCAAAUUUCACCUAUAAAUAGCCAAUUUUGCAUCAAUUUCAUCCAUUUUUGCUUUGAUUCUUCAUUUGCUCUCCUAUUACUCCAAUUUUUUCCAAGAUUGCUCAAUUAUUCAAUCAUUUUAAGGUAUGUUUGUUUGCAAUAAUUAAUUCAUGUAUUUUUAAUUAAUUAGUAUGUUUACAUUCAAUUGUAAUUAUUUUGUAUAUUUUUAUUGAAUUAAUUUGGGUUAUGAUAUAUUUAUUUUAGAUGAUUAUUUGUGAUUUAAAUUCGUAUUUAGAAUUACAUUAAACUAAUUAACUUAGCUAAAUUGUUUAAUUAAUUUAAUUAACAUAGUAAAUUAUGUAAUUAAUUUAAUUAACAUGGUUAAUUAUGGAAUAUUAAAUAUGCUCAAUAUUUUAUAUUAUCGCAAUUUAUUUUCAUAUUCAAUUAUGAUUAAUUUCAAUAUUUAGUAAAUUUGUCAUAAAAUUACAUUUAGAUUUUAAAAAUUAACUUAGGUAAUUUAUUUAAUUAGUUAAAUUAACAUGAACUACUAUAUAUGAAAUAUUAAAUAUGAUCAAUUUUUUUAUAUUAUCGCUAUUUAUUUUCAUAUUCAAUUAUGAUUAAUUUCAAUAUUUAGUAAAUUUGUCAUAAAAUUACAUUUAGAUUUUAAAAAUUAACUUAGCUAAAUUAUUUAAUUAGUUAAAUUAACAUGAACUACUAUAUAUGGAAUAUUAAAUAUGAUCAAUUUUUUUAUAUUAUCGCGAUUUAUUUUCAUAUUCAAUUAUGAUUAAUUUCAAUAUUUAGUAAAUUUGUCAUAAAAUUACAUUUAGAUUUUAAAAAUUAACUUAGGUAAUUUAUUUAAUUAGUUAAAUUAACAUGAACUACUAUAUAUGGAAUAUUAAAUAUGAUCAAUUUUUUUAUAUUAUCGCGAUUUAUUUUCAAUUAUGAUUAAUUUCAAUAUUUAGUAAAUUUGUCAUAAAAUUACAUUUAGAUUUUAAAAAUUAACUUAGGUAAUUUAUUUAAUUAGUUAAAUUAACAUGAACUACUAUAUAUGGAAUAUUAAAUAUGAUCAAUUUUUUUAUAUUAUCGCGAUUUAUUUUCAUAUUCAAUUAUGAUUAAUUUCAAUAUUUAGUAAAUUUGUCAUAAAAUUACAUUUAGAUUUUGAAAAUUAACUUAGGUAAUUUAUUUAAUUAGUUAAAUUAACAUAGAUUUAAAUUUAAGUGUAUUUUUCUUGCAAUAGAUUUAGCAUGGCUAGUGAAGGUGGUUCUGCCGUGCCAGGGCGAGAUCCGGCUUGGAAGUAUUGUUCACCAAUUGAGGGUAAUCGAAAUGCAACAAUUUGUAAUUUUUGUGGGUUGGUAAUGAAAAGUGGAGGCAUCACACGAUUCAAGUCUCAUUUAAUGCAUAAGGACCCGCAUAACAACACCAAAAAGUGUCCAAGAGUGCCGCCCGAAGUGAAAGAAGAGAUACGAUUGUUGGUGCAUGACAAACAAAAAGCAAAAGCAAAAAAAAAUGCUGAUAUUGAAGAAAUUCGUAGUCAAUUACGUGGCACAAUGGGGACGCAUCAUACACAUUUGGUAAACGAAGAUGAUGAUGAUGAAGAUGCUGAGGAAGAAGAUGUGUAUAUGUAUCCGACAGAUAUGCACCCAGAUGAGCGAGAUGCAUAUCGAUCUGCAGUUCGUGCCUCGAAAGCAUCUAAUUGGGAACGUGAACAACAUGAGAAUAUUGUAGGAAGCAAACGCAAAUCGGGAGAGUCUUCUACUGGUAUACCGUUGACGAUGCGAAAAUCACAGAGUAUGCGAUAUUCGCAUCAUUCACCCCCUAUUGCCCCUUCGCUUUACAAGUCUUCUACAGCAAAACAAAAAAAUAUCAAAGAUAUAUUCAAGGGUGGUGCAAUUAAAGAAACGAUGGGACGCUUAAUCAGCAAAUUCUUCAUUUAUGAGAGCGUCGCACCCGCAAAAGCAAAGUCUCAUCACUUCAAGAAUAUGAUUAUUGGUGCACAACAAGCAGGUAAUUACUAAUUUAUCAAAUGUUAUAUUGUGUUAUACUUUUAGUAAGUAUAGUAUUUUGUGACAUGUUUUACAUAUGAAGUGCAGGAAUGGGAAUCGAACCUCCAUCUCCAUAUGAAAUAAAGAACAAAUACUUGGAAAUGGAGUACAAAGAAAUGGAAGCUUAUGUGAACCAACAACGGGAAAAAUGGAAGACAUAUGGGUGCACAAUAAUGUCAGAUGGAUGGACAGGGCCCACGAAAUUAAGUAUUAUUAAUUUCAUGGUUUAUUCUAAAGGGACCACGGUGUUCCUUAAGUCAGUCGAUGCAUCGAACUAUAUCAAAGACCACAAGUAUAUAUAUGAGCUUUUGAAGACUAUUAUCAAAGAAGUCGGUAAGGAAAAUGUGGUCCAAAUUGUCACAGAUAAUGGGUCGGCAUUCAUGAAAGCAGGGAAACAAUUGAUGAAGAAGUAUAACUUAUAUUGGACUCCGUGUGCGGCACACUGCAUCGACUUAAUCUUUGAAGACAUCGGUAAAAGACCCAAUGUUAUCGAGGUGAUAAACAAUGCUCGCAAGAUAACUAACUUCAUUUACAAUCAUGGUUGGUUACUAGCACAAAUGAGAAAGUAUUGUGGUGGAGACAUUGUUCGACCAGGAGCUACAAGGUUUGCUACCAAUUAUAUUGCUCUUGACAGUCUUCUAAAAAAAAGGGCUGAUUUGAAAAAAUUGUUUAUGAGUGAUGAAUGGGCACAACACAAACUCAGUCGAACAAAACUUGGACGAGAAUUGGAGCAAUUAUUGUUUGACCAUACGUAUUGGGACAGAUUGACAAAUAUAGUUUCAUUAUAUGAGCCAUUAUACGUGGUGCUUCGACUUGUGGAUUCUGAAGUUGUUCCCACAAUGCCAUUUGUGUACGAGCUUAUGCACGUGAUGAAAGAGAACCUUAUUCGUCAAGGAGCUGGAGAUUGGAUGUUCAAAAUAAUACAAGAUCGUUGGCAGAAAACACUAAAACAUCCACUUCAUGCAGCAGGUACUUAAAUACUAUAUAUCUUUAUAAGUUUUACUUUGUAUUUAAGUUUAUUUAAAAAAAAAAUACUAACUCUACUAAAUUUUAUUGUAGCAUACUUCUUGAAUCCAAGAUUUCAAUAUAGGCGUGGAGUUGGUAGUGAUCCGGAACUACUUCAAGCUGUCCAUGAUGUUUUUGCAAAAUUAGAUCCAACUACUGAAUCGCUUGGUCAAUUUGGAAAUGAGGUGAAUAAAAAAUUGUUAUUUUUGUCAAUAAAACAAUAAUUUCAUUCAUCAAUUUAUUUGAACGUUUACUAACAAAUUAAAUGUUGAAUACAUAGCUUGUACUUUUUCGAGAUGCAAAAAGAGGAUUCGGUGAUCGAGCGGCAAUUGCAUCAAGGUCAACCAUGGUGCUUGGUGAGUCUUUAUAGGAAAAAAUUGAUUAUUAUUAUUGUAAGUUCACCACAUAAGUAUUUAUAUGAUUAUCAAAUUCGUUGCAGCUGAAUGGUGGUUUAUGUAUGGGAAUCAAACACCUACAUUGAGAAAGUUAGCCAUCAAAGUUCUCUCACAAACUGCGUCAUCUUCUGCAUGUGAGAGAAAUUGGAGCACGUUUGCUCUCAUCCACACAAAGCAACGAAAUCUUUUGGCUUACUCUCGAUUGGAGCAAUUAGUGUUUUGUUACUAUAAUAUGAGGCUAAAGUUACGCGAUAUGGAGACAGAAAAUGAUCGAGUUGCUGAAAAAGAUUACCUUGAUCUCCUUGACAUUUCAGCCGAGGUGGGUGAAGAAGAAGAUAAUCAGUUGUUCCAGUGGGUUAGGCCUAUACACUUGGAUGACGAAGUUGGAAAUCCUGAUCCACGAAUUGCCGCUCAUGCUCGAGAAUUUGGAGUUAAUGUUGAACGUGUGUUGUCCGAAGAAGUUCACUCUGAAAGUUUUAGCAAAGAUACUGAUGAUUCUCUUCAUGCAACAUAUUCCCAGCAAGAGAUUGACUCCACAAGUGCUGGCCAUAGUAGUAGACCUAGUGCUGCAGGUACUUCUGCUUCUGGUUACGAUGGUUCAAGAGGUGGAACUGAUGAUGGAGGUGAUAAUGGGGGAGGAGAUAUUGAUGAACAUCGACAUAGUCAAUAUCCAAUCAACCAAUUUACUUGUGAAAAUGAUUUCACACACUGCACACAGGAUGAAGACCAUGGCUCUAGAAGAGCUGGUCCAGGCAUAAGAGCUAUUGGGAGGCCUUAUAGAGGAAGAGAACGAAUGAUGGAACCAUAUAACAAGGAGUUACUUUCAGGGAGUUUUGAAUCUAUGAGUAUAGGGACUCAAUUUAGUGACUCCUCGAAUGAGGCUAACGUCUACCCUCCUCAUGUGAUGAGUUAUGGUCAACCUUCAAGUUCAAUAGAUGAAGAGUAUGGUAUGUCACAUUAUUCCCCUUCCAGACAAAUGCCAUACCAAAUUCCAUAUCAGAUGGAAGAAGGAUUUGGCGUUAACACAUGGGUGAACUUUGAGUAUCCUAUCCAUGUAGAAGCAGUAGGCAGGACUCAAGAGAUAUAUGCAUGGCAUGUUAGAAUUUAUAACCAAUAUUAUCGAGACUCAUUGACUUGGUACCAAUAUUGUCUCCAACAGCAAGCCGGGGUUCCUUCAUCUAUCAAUCCCAUUGAACCACAUCGAAACUCAUUUUGGUACUAAAGGGACAUUGCAAUGUAAUGUGUACAAAUUAUUGUUAUUUAAUGAAAUGAAGUAUUUGAUGUGACUUUAUAAUGAGAUCAAUUACGAAAUUAACAUUUCUUAUAGAUCGACAUGAUAUAAUUACAUCUAAUAUCGCAAAUUAUAUCAUAUAUAUAUCAAAUUUUUCAAUAAAACAAUUUUAAAAUGUCUAUUAUACUUCUAAUUAUAUUAUUAUGAGGUUUUUCUUACAUUUCCAUGAGUUUUUAACAAUUUUAAGCCUACCAAUAAUAUCCACCGAUAUAUCUCCGAUAUAUCCGAUAUAUCCGUAAAAUCGAAUUACCGAUAUAUCCGUGAUUACUGAUAUUUUCAUCCUUGCUCAAGACCAACUUGUUGACGCUCUCACCAAAUCAUUAUUCCAUCAAUGACUUCUUUUAUUCCUUUCCAAGAUGGGUGUUUCCAAUGGAAUCAUUAUCUUGAGGUGAAAUAUUGGGAACGAAUCAACAACUUCUCCCAACCUCGUGGAUUCCAGCUCAUGAUCCACUCAUUCACAUGAAAUGAAGUCUCUUAAUUUCAACUGCUCCCAAUUAUUCGCAAUUAAGCAUAUUGUAAUAUUCUCAUUUGUAACAAUUCCUUUCAUUUGAAUUCUGAUUCUUUGUGUAUAUAUAUUAUUGUAAAAGAUACAACAAUUUAUUCAAUUCAUUCCUUUUUCUGCAAACUUGCUUGACCCUAUUAAUGCCAUCUUACAUCCACUGUCAUUCCAUUCAUGAAAGCAGACCAUAAAAAACACUCGCUCAUAAAACAUCACUCCAAAAAAAAAAAGAAGGAAAAAUCAGUUUUUUUGCCAAAUUUACAACAAGAAUAUUUGUUUAUUUGGCAAGCAGAGGGACUGGAGAGCAAAAUCAGCCUGAAGUCACGGGUCAUGAAAUAGGAUGCCUGGCCUGAAAAAGGCAUGUGAAGCCAGUCCAAAUUCCGAGUAGAAAAAAGGUCUCCAGUGAGGGUGGGGACAUGGAGGCUGGAAAUUGUAAUAAUCCCAAGAGUAUGUUGGAAUUUUUAUGUGUGGACUUACAUAAUUAAUUUGAUAAUGUCAUAAAUCAGUGUUAUUUAUUUUUGCAUUGUGGUCCAUAAUGGGACUGGACACAUAUUGUUGCUUAAUUUUUAUGGGCUCACCCUAAUUCACUUGAUUAGCCCAUUAAGUCAAGUGGUGGUCCAAAUAAUGUGUGUGAUAUAUAUAUAUAUAUAUAAAAGAAAAGGAUGGGCUCACUGUGUGGCUGGCUCCCUACUCUUCCUCCUUUGGCUGAAAGAGAGCACGCACUCUCGUCAUGGACUGAAUCUGGGUGUAGAAGGGAAGAACUCAUUAACCCGUAAUUCUCGCACUAUCAAGCACUGGAGGAGCUUCCUGAAUACUAGAAAAGAGCAAGAAAUGGCCUUUCACGGAAUUAACCAAGGUGAACGUUUCCGUUUUUGCCGUUCAAUGCAUGCUUAAAUGUCAACAUGUGAUCCUAUAUUGUUUAAAUUUUCUUCAAUUGGUAUCAGAGCAAGCAUGAUUGACAUUUGAGCUGCAAUUUUGGGUUAAUUUUUGGGUUUCCCGUUUCCUGUGGUGGAAGCCAUUUUUUUGGAUUUUUAUUUCUCGUUUGAUGUUGAUUCUCUGUUUUCAAGCCCGAUUGUUGUUGGAAACUUGUAGAGAAUAUUGUUUGGAGCAAAACCCAUCAUUUUAUUUGAUUUUUGGAGCUUGUUUGGUGGGAUUUCGAAAAUUAAGGCUUGUUUGGUUCUUGCUAUUAUGCGUUUUUUUGUGCAAUUUUUGGGUUUGGAUUGAAGAAUUGAUGUUUGAGGAUGGAAAUCUAUGUAUUUUUGACGAAAAAUGCAUGAAAUUUUGGGCGGAAAAUUUUUUUUUUCUUCUCCAGAACCAGGCCGUGCUCAGCUAGAGGAGAAGAUGAAUAGUGAUGUGAUGAAUCAUGACGUCAUAAAAAAAAAAAAAAAAAAACCAAUUUUUUUUUUUUUUGUUGCCUUGGUAUUCUUGGAUUGAUUGUGCAUAUGCUAGAAUUAUUAUGCAUUUGUUAAAUUUGACUUUAUUGGGACAAUUAUUAUUAUUAUUGUUCUUUAUGGUAUAAUUUUUCCUUAUAUUAAUAAUGUUGUCCUAUGUCAAUUUUGUUAAAUAUUUCAAUUUAUUGAGGCAAUGAAGCACACUUGUGUGAUUGCCUAUUGCAAUUCCAAGUGUGUGAUUGAUUGUGCAUAUGCUAGAAUUAUUAUGCAUUUGUUAAAUUUGGCUUUAUUGGGACAAUUAUUAUUAUUAUUGUUCUUUAUGGUAUAAUUUUUCCUUAUAUCAAUAAUGUUGUCCUAUGUCAAUUUUGUUAAAUAUUUCAAUUUAUUGAGGCAAUGAAGCACACUUGUGUGAUUGCCUAUCGCAAUUCCAAGUGUGUCAAAUUGUGAAAAUUAAGAUAUUUUGAAUUUUAUUCAUGACAAUAGUGAACAUAUGUGUGGUUGCCUAUCGUGAUCCUAUAUGUGUCAAAUUGUCUUUGUUGAGAUAUUUUAUCUCCCUUUUUUUAUUGUUUUAUUAUUGUGAUAACUAAGGUCCAUACGGGUAUUGUGAUUGUCCUAUCGAUGAUUAUAAUAUUUGGUAGGAUAUUUGGAUUGGUGAAGGAAAUUAAUUUUAUAUUAUGACUCAUACUAAUUUUCUUUGCCCUUUCGGUAAUAAAAUUAGUGCAUCUUAGUUGUGAUAUUUAAUUGAUUGUCCUUAUUAAUUGCAUAGAAUCACAUGUUGACAAAUUAAGCAUGCAUUUAACAGCAAAAUUCAAUCCGUUACCUUGGUUCGUGCUUUGGGAAACCAUUUCUUCUCUCCUUUGAUAUCCAAUAAUCUGCUUUCCGGGUGCGUGAUGGUCCGAGAAUGAGCGAUCAUAUUUGGUAGGAUGCUUGGAUUGGUGAAGGAAAUUAAUUUUAUAUUAUGACUCGUACUAAUUUUCUUUGCCCUUUCGGUAAUAAAAUUAGUGCAUCUUAGUUGUGAUAUUUAAUUGAUUGUCCUUACCGCCGUGGAAUUUUCAAAAUUCCAAGCUGUUGCUAAAUUGAGAAAUUCUGGAAACUAGCAAAUGCAUGAUUUUGUAGUAACAUGCAUAUUGCUUAAUUUUGCUAUUUUCCAACUACUAGCAAUCCUGGUAUUACUCUGCAAUUGUUUGCCAUCAAACCCUCUUACUGGAAUAAUUUUGAGGAAUGUUUUGAGUCUUUCAAUGUGCAUAUGACUAUGCACAUUUUGGACUGGGCUUUGAGAGUUGAUAAGCCAAGUAAAUUUGAGUUCUUCCAUAUUGUAGCACAAACGCCUAGGUCAUAUUUCUAGGCAAAGAUUAGAGAGAUUGGUUAGAGAUGGUGAGUAUUAUGGGAGAUGUGAUGAGACUGGACGGAAUUCUGGACCAUUCACUAAGUUUCUAUUGGAAUGCGGCAUUGAUGCUAGAUAUACAAUGUCAGGCACUCCUCAACAGAAUGGGGUUGCAGAAAGGAGGAAUCGCACAUUGUUGGAUAUGGUGAGGUGCAUGUUGUCUAAUUCCUCCUUACCAGAAUUUCUAUGGGGUGAAGCCUUAAGGAAUGCGGCAUAUAUUUUGAAUCAAGUGCCCAGUAAGUCUGUGCUUAAGACACCUUAUGAGCUAUGCGCAGCGGAAGCGUGGUUAGGCCCUAUAAUCCAUAGUUAAAGAAACUUGAUCCUAAAACCAUUAUUGGUUUCUUUGUUGGCUAUUGCAUUGGAUCAAGGGGUUCCAGAUUUUAUUGUCCAUCUCAUACCACCAGGAUCAUUGAGUUAGACAGGGUUGUAUAUUUUGAAGAUGUGAGCUCUGUUGAUGAAAGAUCUAGUGGUAUCUGAAGUUUGAUAGUAUUAUCACCCAAAAUGACUUUAAAGAAAAUACAGUUGACAGAUGCAUAUAUUUGAGGGUUAGUGGGAGUAGUUACAUAUUUCUUGUUUUAUAUGUUGAUGAUAUACUACUCGCAUCAAAUGAUCCUGACUUGUUGAUUGAGACAAAGCACAUGUUGUCAACCCAUUUUGACAUGAAGGAUCUUGGUGAGGCUUCUUAUGUCUUGGGCAUAAAGAUUCUUCGUGAUAGGACUAAUGGAGUGCUUAAAUUGUCUCAAAGAGCCUAUAUUGAAAAGAUAUGAAGAGGUUCAAUAUGCACAACUGUAGUUUGAUAUUGCUUUUGUUGUGGGCAUGUUGGGAAGGUACUUGAGCAAUCCUGGGAGUCAACAUUGGAAUGCAGCUAAGAAGGUCCUUAGGUAUUUGCAAGGAACUAAGGACUUAAUGUUGACAUAUCAGCGCACCAGCUUACUUGAUGUAGUUGGGUUUUGUGAUGUUGAUUUUGCUGGUUGCAUAGAUGAUAAGAAAUCCACUACGGGCUAUAUUUUUAUGAUGGCAGGAGGAGCUGUAUCUUGGAAAAGUGUCAAGCAGACACUUACAACAUCCUCAACUAUGGAGGCAGAGUAUGUGGCAUGUUAUGAGGCUUGUUGUCAUGCUAUGUGGAUGCAGAAUUUUGUUUCAGCUUUAGGAGUUGUUGACUCCAUUUCUAGACCGCUGAAAUUAUUUUGUGAUAAUUCCGCAGCUGUUGCUUUCUCCAGUGAACAAUGAACAAAUAUAAUUAUGUGCAUAUCAAGGAUCAGGGUAAAUCAAUCACAUAUAGCUAAUGAAUCAAUCAAUCAGUCAAUCAAUCAUGAAGUCUCAUAUGUAGGGCCCCCACCAAAGCCCAUUUAUUUUUGCAUGAAUUAAUUCCAUAAAUUCCAUCAUUUGGAAUUACGGAAUUUGAUUUUUGCUUAUUUCAAAACAUUUUAAAAAAUAGAGGUGUGAAAAUUGCUUGCCAGAAAGAAAGAUGGAAGCCAGAUUUUAUUAAAAAUGGGAGGAUUUUUGGGAUCUAAACAUUUUAAGGAUGAAAAAUGGGGAAGUUGGGAUAGUUUGAGAAUUUGGAAUUUGGAAAAAACAUUUGAAAAUGGGGUUAGGAAAUUAUCUUUAAAAUAGCAAUAAUAAUAAUAAUAAUAAUAAUAAUAAUAAUAAUAAUAAUAAUAAUAAUAAUGAAAUGUAGAAAACCACAUGGUCAAGGGUUGCAUGCCAAAGGUGGCCAUGCAAGUCAUAGAUAAGGGUGGGUCCAGGUUGCCAUAGUUGGGUAUUGGAUAUGGACUUCAGAUCUUUCAUCCUUGGGUUGACUUUUCUGACUCUUCAUUCAAAACACCUGAUGUGGCAUCUCCUGCUUUGUUUCUAUCAGCAUCAUCUCAAGAUCGCAGGUGACUUUAGGAUUAAUCUCCUUCUCUAAAGGAAGCCUUUUAUUCGAUCUGCAAUAGCCGCCGGAGAUGGGAAGGCCUUUAGAGGAUUCAAGAUGACGCCAUCUGUAAAUCUGUACUCCUUGGCUUCUUUUGUGCUUAUGAAGAAACCACGAUCCGUGUUUUGGUUGAUCUUCUCGAAGCUUUGACCGAUGUGGUAGGAGAGAUACCCAAAGGAGGAUUUUGCUGCGUGUUCAUCCAUUGAACUAAGCUCAGGCCAUGGACUGCCUAGGGAUCUUUCAUGCAGACAUUUCCUUCUGAUGAUGUCAUAGUGAUGAGUUUGUCCACUGAGAAAACUUUUGGGAGGUCCAUCUUCAAAGGUCUCCUGGGUGCAAGCAACCGUGGAGUCGUCUAAGAAACUGCACUCAUCUGCGUUCAAGAAGCUCGACCUCUGAAGCCUCACUCUCCCUCACGGUGCUCGUCAUCCUUUGCCUUGAGAGGCUUCAUAACUUCCCAUGUGAAGUCGGGUCAUCUCUUUGAAAGUGCCCGUAUGCAGCCGUCUUCAAGAACCUGCCAUUGCCACCCCUCUUGAGAUCCAGGCUAAUGGCAAUCAUUCCAGGCCUGAAGUCAAAGCUCUCUUUCACAAUCUUGAGAAUCUCCUUGUCUGGCAUCUUUCCAGUGGCAUGCGUGUCAACAAAUACGGAUAAAGGCUCGGGCACACUAAUAGCAUAUGAGACCUACACGGUGCACCUGCGGGCAAGCCCAUUGUGGAGAUCUUUCUGUCAUCUGGACCUCUCUGUAUGCAUACAGAGAUAAAGGAACAGAAUUCUGCAGAAAAUUGAUCAACAGAUGCCAGAUGCAUAAGGCGGUGGCUGCUCAACAAUGACUUCCAUAAGUUCAUAAAAGCUGGUCCAUACUUCCCCUUACUCUGGUAGAGUUUCUCCAACUUUAGAAGCUCUACGAACCCAAGUUACUGAUUUCUUGCCAUAAAUCAACAAAAAGACGCUCCAAAAGCAGUGAACUAAGCCCAGAGCCAGUACCGCCACUAACAGCAUUGAAAACAAGGAAACCUUGGAGAUCAGUACAAUUGUCAGCCAGUUUUCGGAUCUGGUUCAAGCAUAGCACAAGAUCCAAAAACGAGAAUGUAACCACAACAGAGAAGAAACCAUGGAGGCAUAGCAUGAAAGAAAAUAGGUAAAAGUAUCUUCAAAAGGGGCUUCAAUGGUUGCUUGGCGUUCCGGUGAUGGCGGAGGCGCUUCGCCGCCGGCGGCAAGCCGCCGACGUCAUUCAAGGACAGCUUUGCUUGCUCUUUCCAUGAACCGGUUUCUGUGAUUUUCAAGUAUUGAAAGAAUAAUCCCUUGAGUGAUGGUGGUGAGAACAAUGUGGAAAUCUAGAGAGAGAAAUAGGUUUUGAAGCUGUAGUCCAAUGAGUAUAUGCAGAGGAGAUAUGUGACGUGGGUAUGGCAGAUAAUGGAGAGAAGGUGUUUUAGUGGUGUGGUCAGAUGGGUAUGAACAAACGAAGUGGUGAUAGAAUGAAUAGGAAAGCAUGCAUGUGGUUAGUAUGGGACAUGGGUAUGAAGGAGUGUGGGUAUCUAUGGAUGAUUGGGUAGAGUCUGUUAAAGGUGGGUCUGUGCAUGGGAUAAAAGAGAAAGGCGGGUCAGAACAGGGACUAUAUUUACAAUGGUGGGUAUGGUGUGGAAUCGGAAGUUGGAAGUUAGUGGAAUGAGUGGUAUGAAAUUCUAAAAGAUGCUUGAUGGGCAUUUUCGGUAUGAUGAUGAACCAUUCUGCAGCCUGACUUGUUGCCGACGUGAUUACUGCCAGUAUCUUGCCUCAGUGCCUCUGGGAUGCUAAAACUAGUGAAACCAGAAUAAAUACCCACAAUGCCCGAGUCACCAUUGAAUAGGAAAGCUUCUUUCAUAAAAUAUCCAUUCAUGCACAUUAUGUUUCCCUCAUUGGACCUUCAUUUCCACAACCAAAAACUCCAAAAUUUCCGCUACCGAAUCGCCAAUAAAGAGAGCCACUUCAACAGUAAAAUCAUUAGAUCUGAGAUACCCCGUGUCAAAUCCUGAAGUAAUAUCCUCACAUCUCUUGGUUGAGUUUAGGUAGUUCUUCAAGCGGAGAACAUAUUGCUUACUCCCCUAGGCAGAGGUGAGAAAACUAACAUGCCCCAUGGUCGGAGUACCAGGAACAAAGGAAAACAAACAAACAAAGCACCAAUAAUAGGAGCAAAACAAACUCAUACAAGUCUCAUUUCAUACAAUAAUCAAUGAGCUCAUAUCAGGGUGGAUGAAAUCAAACGAGCAUCAAAUAAAAGAUGGAACACGGUUACAGGAAUGUUUCAUGAAGAAAUCAAAACAGGAGCAAACCAAACUACAGGAAAAUCAUUAGCAAAACAUGAACAUGCCCACCCCCAAUCAAUAAACAUCAUCCAAAAUCAACAGAAACAGAACAGAAAAGUAUACCAGUAGAAGCUAAUAGGGAAACCACAAUGACAGUACCUGAAAAUGCUUCUCUUCAGCAACAAAUCUCUAGAAUCUCUGUCAAAACCAUGCUCUCUCGUUCUUCUCCAGAAACUUCCUCUGUUUCUUUUGCUCCUUCUCUCUAAAGCUCUCUGCUCCAGCUUGCUCCUCCUCUCUCCCCCCAGAAAACUCCUCUGUUUUUCUCCUCUUCCUCAAAAGCACUCUGGAAUCCUCUCUAUCCCCCUCCACCAAGCAAAGGAUCCUCCCAAAAUAUCUCCAGGCCGCUCCUAACGGCCUCACACAGCUGCCCUUCUCCCCUGCCGCUGCCAGACGACACCUCCCCAUAACAGAAAACCUUUUUCCCUUCUAGAAGAUUCUUUCCCUUUACAGGUGUCUUCCCUUGAUUAGUCCAUCAAUUCCACUAUAGUGAUCCCAUAUUGACUAAUCCGGGAGUGACAUGUGGCCAGAAUGAGCUGCAUGAAAUAGCACCCAAAUAGGGGUCUAUAGUAAGAUUCUAACCCCUAGUUUAAUAUUUUAGAUUCAUUGAUUAAUUUCAAACACAUUAGAUAUAUUUUUUUUGGAAAACCCCAAAUCUAGAUUAGGGUUAGAUUAUUUUUUAAUUCGUUUUAAUAUCAAAUAGUGAAAAUUUAAUAUUUUGAUUUUAGCAUUGGAAUUUGGGAGAUCUUAAGUUUUAUUAGAAAAAAAAAAAUUCUUGGAAUAUUUCGAUUUUAGGUUAGGGUUAAUUAAAAAAAAAAAAAAGAAAAAAAAAAACGCGUGUGCACAGCGCUGGAAGGAAGAAAAAUAAAAAUAAAAAAUGGGGGGCGUACCGUGUACUGUGUUACUGGAAGCAUGGAACCAAGAAAAAAGAAAAAAAAAAAAACAAAAAAAACAAAAGGUGCGUGUGCCAGCCUGCCAAGAAGCCCCUUAUAUAUAUAUAUAUAUAUAUAUAUAUAUAAUGAAUAUGAUGAUGGCAAUGGAAAAAAAAAAACUUGCUUUUUGGUUUGGUGGUUUGGUGUACCCGAGACAACUAGGUAAUGGUUUAGUGGCUUUUGAAUUGGUUAAUUUAAAAUAAUAAUAUUUAGUUUUAGAUUAAUGAAUAAGAUAAUAGUAAUAAUGGUUUUUUUUUUUUUAAAUAGAAUGAGAGAUUUAGCAAAAUAUAUAUAUAUAUAUAUAUAUAGAAUUUUAUAAUGAAAUAAAAUUGUAAUUUAAUUAAAUUAGUAAUGUGUUAUUAGAAACAAAUUGGGAAUUUAUUAGUUUUAUUUAAAUAAGGAAUGAAUUAGUUAAAUUAUAAAUAAAUAGUAAUAAUUGUUUCUCUUAUGUUAUAUUAGGUGAAGAGUAGAUUAUAUUUUUUUCAGAAUUAUUCUUCUCCCAAGCUUUCAAGGACAUCUUUUGAGGUAAGGGAAGUUAAUGCAAUAUUUAUAAAAUUAAAUUAUUUCAUAUGUUAUUUUGAAUUGUGGAAAAGAAAAUGAUAUUUUGUUACCAUGCAUGGAUCAAAUUGUUUUGCACUAAAUGUUAUGUUGGAAUAUUUUGUUUUAUUUAUGACACAAAAUGUGGAGAUAUUAUGUUGUGUAAAUUUGAAUACUCGAACAAAAACAUUACUCUGGUUUAUUUGGCCCUUGUCAACGGGAUAUAAUAGUUGACUAUUCGGCCCUGUCAACGGGAUAUAAUAGUUGACCUUUACAUUUCAUGGUGGAAAUGUAAUUGAUUUGGACCCCAACCUCUAGGGGUUUGGUUAGAGGUUACUAGUACUAGUAGUGUUUGGUUCCGUCCACCAGGAACAAUUUGAGGCUAGCCACCCAUUUGAAAAGUCCCACCUAAUUGGGCAUUUGAUAUUUGAUAACCAGAGUAAUGAAACUUGAAUGAAUUUGAUAUGAAAUUGGUUGGUUGAAUUUUGAAUAUAUUGGUAUUUUUGGAACUCUGAUAUUUGAUGAGAGAAAAAAAAAUUGAUAUCUCCUAUUUGAAAUGAAAAUAUUUGAUCCAUGAAUUGCAUUAAUAUUCCUUAUUAGGCUGUGAGCUCAUUCCCAAUUGUUGAAAAGUUUUCAGGUACUCUUAGUUCGGGUGAGGAGUGAUGGCUAGGCUGAGGAAUGGUCAUCAUUAGGAUUUGACUUAGGAUUUUAUGUUGGAUUUUGUUUAACUAUUAGUUAUGUUUAUUUGGAUCUUUUGGUAUUUGGAAGUUAUUUGGAAAUUGAAUUUUGAGGAUUUUAGAUUUUGUUUCGCUACUCUGAACAGGUAUUUGGUAAUUGGUAACAUCCAGUUACAAUAUGAUUGUUUGGGUCAGAUUAUACUUUAAGCCUUCGGGUUUGAGGUGUGAAAUGACCGUCACGCCCUUGGAGUGGGUCUUGGGGCGUGACAGUCAAAGUUGAAUGAAAAUUAUUCCACAUGAUACAGAGCAUAGCAUAGACUUGGUCCCCCUGUCAUCGUAUCUCCAUAUCCAGGACAAUUUGAUUACUUAUCCCGGAAGUAUCAUCCAGAAGACUCCAGGGUUUAUCACCAAUACAUCACAUGCACCCAUAAUUUUCUUCGGCGGACGUAGGCAGAACAGGUUUAUCAUCUCUGUAUGCAUGAUUUUCUUCGACAACCGCGUAGUUGGAGGUCUUUUUUUAAGUCUUCUUUCACUUCUAUAUAAGAACAGAGCAUCACAUGGUUAUCAAAACACCAUUCUCUACCUCUCUCUCAGACCAUGAAACUCCACUGCUCAUGGAUGGUGGUACUGGCCACACUAUGUGUAGCUCCGCUGUGCUUCGCGAUGGAGCCCGUCUCCGAGUCGGAUAAACUCGGAAGCUUGCCUGGACAACCACAUGUCAGCUUCCAACAGUUUGGUGGAUACGUAACCAUUGAUGAAAAGCAAGGCAGAGCUCUUUUUUACUACUUUGUUGAAGCAGUAACUGAUCCUACUGCCUCAAAGCCUCUUGUUCUCUGGUUAACUGGAGGUAAUUAGUAUCAAAUUCUUCUUCUCUGGCAUCUUAUUAAGGUAAGUAGAUAAAGUUAGAAUCAUUUCAUUCUUGGUCUCUGAGUAGUGGAAUUUAUUUUGUAGGACCUGGUUGUUCGUCCCUAGGAGGGGGGGCUUUCAUGGAACAUGGCCCUUUUAGGCCCCGCGGGAACACUCUGUUCAGGAAUAAGCAUAGCUGGAACAGAGGUGUGUUGUAGAUUUUGGACAAAGUUGUUUUCAAUUUCAAUCAAGUGUGAUAGAAUUUAUUAGUAUUUAGGGCACUUUGCUCAAUUUUUCUCGACUAUGAUAUUAAUUAAAUUACUAAAAUGAUGAAAUUUACCUCUGAAAUUCUUCUGUCACAGAGGCAAAUAUGUUGUAUGUGGAGUCACCAGCUGGAGUUGGGUUUUCUUAUUCUCGUAAUAAGUCCUUCUAUGAUGAUAUAAAUGAUGAAGUCACAGGUUCAUUUUUUAUCCCCUUUUGUCAAUGAUUUCAACUAAAGUUGCUUAACAUUUGUCUUCAAACGUACUGAUAUUUGGAUGUUUUUCUUAAGCACGAGACAAUCUCGCAUUCUUGGAGGGCUGGUUCAUGAAAUUUCCGAAGUACAGGAACAGAGAAUUAUUCAUUACAGGGGAGAGUUAUGCAGGUAAUUUUAGUGAAGACCUGUUAUUCAGGUUAAGACAAUCAUUUGAAUUCAUGGUGGAUUCAUCAAUUUUUAUUUUCUCUUCCUAUUUUAAUUGAAGGUCUCCUUUUAAUUUUAUGUUAGGUCACUACGUUCCGCAACUUGCACAGCUCGUUAUUAAUUCCGGCAAGAAUUUCAAUUUGAAAGGAAUCCUUGUGAGUAGAGGAAAAAGAAAAUUUGCAUUAAGUACACAUUCUUAAAAUAAAUGGUUGGGCUAAAACUGAUAAUUGAGCUCGAUUUGAUGGCUGAAUGCAGAUUGGAAAUCCUCUUCUAGAAUUCGAUACUGAUAUAAAUGCCCAAGGAGACUUUUUCUGGUCCCAUGGAUUGAUUUCAGAUUCUACACAUGCACUUCUCACGUCCACCUGCAACUAUUCCCAAAUUAUGCGAUGGGUUUAUAAUAUCAGCGAGUCUCUGUCGCCCGAGUGUUACGAGGUAUAUAACAAAUCUGCGGGAGAAAUUGGUGGAUCAGUUGACCCAUUUGAUGUUCUUGGGGACAUAUGUUUAUCAUCGGUAAGGUUUCAUUUCUUCAAUCCAGUUGGUGGGCAGAGGGAAGGAGAAAAAAAAAGACUUGUUUGUACUUGACUUUGAUGGUAAUAUUUGGGUUUGACUCAUGCAGGAAGAGGUCUGCCUAACAGAUGAAGUGGACGUGUAUCUAAACAGGAAAGAUGUGCAGAAGUCUCUCCAUGCCCAGCUUGUGGGCACGCCCAACUGGACUUUAUGCUAUCCGUAAGGAUUCCACACAUUUCCAAUUUACUCUAUGGACGGGUUUACUUUAUUUAAGGGGAAAGGAAAGGAAGGGAAUCAUUCCAUUUCCUCUCUCCUCAUCCGUGGGAAAUCGAUUUCGAUUCCGGAUUUCUUGGAUCUGUUGUUUUAACAUUGUUCUGUAUUGCAGGGAUAGUGCCCACUUCUUGAGAGACGCUGUGAUUCCAUCUAUUAAUGUUGUGGAAUGGCUUGUUUGGUCUGGGAUCCGCGCCUCUGUUUACAGGUAGGUUCCAUUCGUCUGAUGAUAUGACAUCUGGAAAUGUUGGGUUUUUAUUUACAAUUACGAAAAUAACAAUUAAAAUUGCAGCGGAGAUCAAGAUUCAAGGAUCUCCCUAAUUGGAACCAGGUCUUUACUGGAGGGAUUGGCAAAGAAGCUGAAGCUGAAAACAACCGUGCCUUACAGAAAUUGGUUCGAGAAGAAACAGGUUCACAUAUGAUCAUUCCACAUACUAAUUGAAAUUGAAGGUGAGACAAAUUAAAAAUAAGUGACCGUAAUGACCAUGUUUUCCACUUUUCCUUUCUUCUUCAGGUGGGUGGGUGGACGCAAGUGUACGGUGAUAUCCUAUCUUUUGCGACCAUCAGAGGAGGUUCUCACACAGCACCCAUAUCACAACCGACGAGAUCACUGGCGCUGUUUACGGCAUUUCUAGAAGGAAAGCCCCUCCCAGAUGCAUGAAACUCAUCAAUUUCAUGGUUGAAUAAAUAAGUUGGAGGGGAGGGUGUUUUAUCUCGCCAGCAAAUGUCACAUCCUCUGUGUAUGGAUGUGUUCCAUUUAUAUACAUAUAGUGGAAAAAUAAUUGUAUCAUGUAAUUUGAAUUUGGGUGUAAAAGUUUUAAUAGUCUACACGAAGGUGCAAAAAUUUGUGAUUUAGUCAUUUUUUAAUAAUAAAAGAAGUAAUGAUUUUUUUUUUUACUAUGAAAAUAAUAAAUUUAAAUCAUUGGUGGGAUGCAAGUUAAUUUAAUUUUUCAUUUAUUUUUUACUUGCAUGAUUCACUUAUUGAGGAGAAUAAAAGGAAAAAUUACUCAGUUAUGCAUGAUUUUCGUAUUUCAUACCUUUGAAAUAUUACAAUUUUUUAUUUUUAUUUUUUCUGAUAACCAAAACCAUAGACAUAAAAAAAAAUAAAACUAAAAUUUUAAUGUAAUUUGACACUCAAUAUAAUAUCUACAUCUAUAAAGUGCAUCAACACUUCAAAAUUCACUAAUCAAAAGAAAAGUUACAACUUAAAACAACAUUUCAAUUGCGGUUGCAUUUACUAAAAAAACCCUAAAAAUUGAUACGAUUUAGUCACUAUCAUUUUUUCAAGUAAUAAAAAUUAUACGAUAUAAUUAUUCUUGUUUUGUAUGUAGGAAAGAAAAUACAAUUUAGUUAUUAUUACUGAAAAUUUUGUGGAAAUAUUAUGUAGUUUAGUUAUUAUUUUUUGAAAAAUAGUAAAAAAAAAAAAGGAAAUAUUUAUUUAAAUAAAAUUUUGAUGAAGUCUAUUCUUCUUGUAUUUUCCAUUUUUUAAAAUUCUUUUAUAUAUUUAUUAAUUAUGAAUCUCCUUUUCCCCUUUAAAAACCUUUCAAAGAACUUUAAAGAUCUUGGAGAAAUUUGAAAACCUUCUAACAAAGGAUUUGAACCUCCCGUGGUCCUCUUCUCUUAAUUGAGAAUUUAGGAUUUCCCUAGUUCAUAAAGAUUGAGGGGAUUUUCUAUUGUCUUAGGUUAUGUUUGGUUCUUAGAAGGUUUAAAAACAAAUACAAGAGAAAAAAAAAAAAUGAAAGAUAGAAGAAAAUGUAAGAAAACAGAGUAGAACAGAGUGUUUUUGGAAUCUGGAAAUCUGGUGUGUAUUCCAUUAAUCAACUUAAAGGAAGAAGAUGCAUAUAUACAAAGUAUUGGUUAGCCUAUUCUAGGAAUCUAUGUGCAAAUGUAUCAGUUACAAUCAAUCAAAAAUAAUCUUCUAUAUACAAUCAAAUAUCAUCCUCAAAUUACGGGAUCCUUGAUUCCUUUCCCAUAAUACUCUCCCUCAAGUUGGAGUGUGUAUGUCAAGAACGCCAAACUUGUUGAGAAGGGAAUGAAAAAUUGAUGAAUUGAGUGGCUUAGUGAACAAAUCAGCAAGCUGGCAAGACGAUGGAACAUGAGCAGUUACUAUGGCACCUGAUUGAAUUCGUUCUCGAACAACAUGACAAUUGAUUUCUAUAUGCUUGGUACGUUCAUGGUGAACUGGAUUAGCAGCAAUAUGGAGUGCUGCUUUACUAUCACAGAAUAGUUUGGCAGGUUGUGAGUGUUCUACCUUCAAGUCAUCCAACAAAUACUUGAGCCAUGUAAGUUCACAUGUAAUGGAAGCCAUUGCUCGAUAUUCUGAUUCAACUGAUGACCUUGACACUGUUGUAUGUUUCUUGGUUUUCCAUGAAAUGAGAGUUCCUCCAAGAAAAAUACAAUAUCUAGUCACAGAUCGUCUUGUGAUCGAACAUCGAGCCCAAUUUGCAUCACAAAAUCCUCUUAGUAGCAAAUUUCCUUUUGCAGGAAAAUAUAAUCCUUGUCCAGGUGCACCUUUAAGAUAUCGCAGAAGAUGAUGAACAACAUCCAAAUGAGGCUUUCUUGGUUCUUGCAUAAACUGGCUUAAAAUGUGAACUGAAUAACUUAUCUCUGGCCUUGUAAUGGUAAGAUAAAUGAGUUGUUCGACCAAUCUUCUGUAAGUGGAUGGAUUCUUCAAUAAAUCUCCUACUGUGGGCAGGAGUUUAUUAUUUUCUUCCAUAGGUGUCGACAAUGGUUUGGCCCCAAGCAAGCCUGCUUCAUCUAAAAUAUCAAGAGUGUAUUUUCGUUGGGAUAUUGAAAUACCAUCAGUAGAACGAGCAACUUCAAUACCAAGGAAAUAUCGUAAUUGACUGAGGUCCUUGAUGCGAAAUUUGGUGUGGAGAGACUCCUUAAGAGCUGUAAUUACAUUCUCAUCAUUGCUAGUGAUGAUCAUGUCAUCUACAUAGAUGAGCACAGCUGUGAAAGAAUUACCAGAGAUCUUUGUGAAAAGUGAAUAAUCAACCCUUGAUUGAUAGAAACCAUCUUGUUGAAUGGUGGCAGAAAAUUUCUAAAACCAUCUACGGGAGGCUUGUUUAAGUCCAUAUAAUGACUUGUUGAGUCGACAUACCAUAGGUGUCUCCCCUUGUCGACGAAAUCCAGGCGGCAAUUGCAUAUAGACUUCUUCAAGUAAAUCACCAUGGAGAAAGGCAUUUUGAACAUCCAUUUGGUGAAGUGACCAAUGUUGGACAACAGCUAUAGCAAGUAAACAUCGAACUGUAGUUAACUUAGCCACAGGAGAAAAGGUCUCCUUAUAGUCAAUCCCUUCGCGUUGAGUGAAGCCUUUCGCCACCAACCGAGCUUUGUAUCGCUCAACUGUGCCAUCAGAGUUAUAUUUGAUCUUAUACACCCAUUUGCACCCAAUUGGACGAUGACCGAAAGGGAGAGGUGUGAGUGUCCAAGUGUGAUUUUGUUCAAGAGCAUGGAGUUCUGCAACCAUAGCUUACUGCCAUUUUGGAUCCAAUACUGCCUGUUCAUAAGUUGUAGGUUCCACAAGAGUGGUGAUGGCACAAACAAAAUUCUGAUAUUUUGGUGAGAGUUGUGCAUAAGAAAUAUACCGAGUCAAAGGGUGACACGUACCUGACAAGAAAGAAGAUUGGUUGGAAGCAACCUUGGCGGUGUGGUAGAGAUGAAAAUUCCGGAGUUGGACAUUUGGUUGCUUGAUGCGGUCAGAACGACGAGUAAUAGGAGGUGGAGGUGACACAAUGGUGUCAAGAUCAAGUGUACGUUCAUUAGAGAUAGACUCAAGAGAUGAAAGCAAGGGUGUUGGCUAAUCAUCGGCUUGUGGUUUGGUUGUCUCUGUGGUUAUGGGUUCAUAUGAGGUUUGUGGUAAAGGGAGAAUGACCACAUCAUUUUGUUCUUCUUGUGGAUUAGUGUGGAACGGAAAUAUGUGUUCAUGAAAGACAACAUCUCAGGAAGAAAAGAAUUUAUUAGUUUCAAGAUCAUAAACCCGAUAACCCUUUUGACCAAGAGGAUAACCAACAAAUAUGCAACGAUGAGCUCUUUGAUCAAAUUUAUGUGUGGGAAAGAGAUUGGUGGCAUAACAAAGACAUCCAAAAGUUCGUAGAUGAUGAUAUGAAGGUAGCUUGUUAUAGAGAAGUUGGUAUGGUGAUUUGUGAGAAAGAAGGGGUGUAGGUAAGAGAUUGAUUAAAUAGCAAGCCGUUUGAAUACUUUCCCCCUAAAAUUUUAACGGCAAGUUUGCUUGAAAACGAAGAGCUCUUCCCACAUUUAAAAGGUGAUGAUGUUUCCUCUCAACCCCCCUAUUUUGUUGUGGGGUGUAAGCACAUGAAUGAUGGUAAUUGAUCCCCUUAGUAUCCAAAUACUGUUUCAUAGAGGAAAUUUCAGUCCCAUUAUCGGUUCGAAGAGUUUUAAUGCAACGAUUAAAUUGGGUUUCCACCCAAGAAAUGAAAGAUUGCAAUAUCCUUUGUGUUUCAGAUUUAAAACUCAUGAGAUGUAUCCAAGUAUAUCGAGUAUGAUCAUCAACAAUUGUUAGGAAAUAACGAGCCCUAGAGUGAGAAUUUAUUCGAUGUGGUCCCCAAAUAUCACAAUGUAUCAAAUCAAAAGGUGCGUGAGAAGAAAUGAAACUAGAUGGAAAUGACAAACGAGUUUGUUUGGCUAAAGGGCAAAUAUCACAAACAUGCUUGGAAUCAAAAUAAAUUUCAGGAUUAAGUUUAGCAAGAACUUGAAGAGGACCGGAUGAUGGGUGCCCAAGAUGUUGAUGCCAAAGAUCAAAAUGUUUGUCAAUGGCGUAAGCCAAGGCUGGAUUUUGGUCUUGUGCGAGAUAGUAGAGGCCAUUAUGUUGCUUGCCCAGGCCAAUCGUCUUCCUCAUAGUAGCGUCCUGCACAACACAAAAAUCGGAAAAGAACAUCACUAUACAUUGUAAUGCCCACGUUAGUUUACUAACUGAUAGUAAAUUAACUUGAAAUUGUGGAAAUUUGAGCACGUCAUCAAGUUUAAUGUGGGGGGUAACAUGCAAUGAACCAAUUGACUCAAUAUGUGCUUGACCAGCAUCUAGCAAACUAAUGGUAGUGGUUUUGGGCAAAAUUUUCGGAUCUAAUAAUUCAGCUGAGGAAGUCACAUGAUCCGUGGCUCCACUAUCAAUAAUCCAACACAUAUUUGAGUGUGGGCAAUUCGGAAUAAUUUUGGAUGAUGGCAUAUUUAUACCUGUGGCAUUUGCAAAAUGUUGUGAAUUACCACCAUUGUUUUUUCGAAUCAUAGCCAUCAAUUGGUUAUAUUCCUCAGUUGUGAGCCUUGGUCCAUCAUUUUUUGGAAGAAGUUUUGCUUCUAUCUCCACAGCCUUAUUUGUUUCCACUUUCACAUUGUUUGCAUUUGAGUGACGUUGAUUGGGAGGCUUCAUGUUCUUCCCAUGAAGCUUGUGGCCAAUCGGAAAGCCAUGUAGGUAGUAACACUUCUCAAUGCUGUGAUAAUCACGGUCACAAUAAGAGCAGUGCAGUGGAGUCUUUUGUUUUUGAACUUGGUGUGCUGAAGUCGCCUUAUUGUCCCGAUCUGCAAGCAUGGCAUAAUGGUUCUUGUUCCCAUUAUUGAGAGAAACUUCAACCUGUUUUUCUUGUUGAAGGACAAGUGAGUAAACUCGGCGUGUAUCGGGUAGAGGUUGCAUCAAUAAGAUUUGUCCACGAAUGGCAGCAUAACUAUCAUUCAAUCCCAUGAGAAAUUGCAUAACUCUCUCUUUUUCAUCCCUUUCCUUAAGUUUCUCUAAUCCUCCACAAGAGCAGGAUAACACUUCAUGAUAGGAUGAAAGUUCAUCCUAAAAAGCUUUAAGCUUUGUGUAAUAAACCGAAAUUGAUUGCUGCCCCUGCCUAUGUUCCACAAUAUCUCGCUUGAUCUGAUAAAUUCUUGAAUCGUUUCCUUGCGAAAAACGUUCUCGCAGAUCUGCCCAGAUUUCUGAUGCUGUUUCGGCAUAAAUCACACUACUGGCUAUGUCUGGAUGAAUGGAAUUCAAUAACCAUGAGAUCACCAUAUUAUUGCAAUGUUGCCAAGAAGGAAAACUAUCAUCAGUCGAAGAGGGUGGCUUAAUGGAACCUGUGACGAAUCCAAUUUUGUCUUUAGCACUCAAACUAAUCCUCAUAGCCCGACUCCAUGUGUUGUAGUUAUCUCCUUCAAGUACUUUGGAGACAAGUACCAUACCCGGGUGGUCCAAGUGGUGUAGAGAGAAGCGAUCUAAAGCUUCUGUGGUAGCCUUAGAUGAUGUCAAUCCCGUUUUGUUGAUGUCCAUGGCAGCUAUAACAAGGAAAUAAGUUGCGGAAGCGCUUGGAAGAAUUUAGAGUCACCAGGUUUGGUGCUCUGAUACCAUGUAAGAAAACAGAGCAGAACAGAGUGUUUUUGGAAUCUGGAAAUCUGGUGUGUAUUCCAUUAAUCAACUUAAGGGAAGAAGAUGCAUAUAUACAAAGUAUUGGUUAGCCUAUUCUAGGAAUCUAUGUGCAAACGUAUCAGUUACAAUCAAUAAAAAAUAAUCUUCUAUAUACAAUCAAAUAUCAUCCUCAAAUUACUGGAUCCUUGAUUCCUUUCCCAUAAUAGAAAAGAAAAAAAAAAUUAAAUUUAAAAUAAAUAAAUUAUUAUUAUAUAUUACUUCAAACUUUUUUCAUAAAUUUAACUCUUCUAUUCUUAAUAAUUUUAAUGAUUUUUAACUUUCUUUUGCAUUUUAUAGUAAAAUCAAAUAUGAGAAAAUAAUUUUAUUUAACAUUUUUUUUUUCUUUUUCUACUGUUUUGAAAAACCAAACAUAACCUUAAAAUUUAAAUUUAUUUCUCAAAAUUGAUAAUUAUUAUUUUAGUUAUUAAUUUAAUAUUUUUAUCUAUUCUAAUCCUCUAAUUUUAAUUGUUCAAAAUCUAUUUCUUAAUUUAUGUUUCUUAAUUUAUGGACCCAUACAAUAUUAUUUUAUUUAUCAAAAACUCGUCUUGUCAACAUAAGCUUAAAUAACUUUUUUUUUCUAUAAUAAAAACAUAUUAUUUCAGAAUGAUGUUUUAUGUGUUAUUACUUUAAAUAAAAUUUCUACUACUAACCACGUAAUAAGCAAAUAAUUAGGGUUAAUUAAAAAUAAUUUUAUUUAUUAAAUAUAUAAAAAUUUAUAUUUACUAAUCAAGUAUAAGAUCAUAAAAAUGAAAUAAUUAAAAUUUUUAAAAUGUCAAACACUUUGUAGUAUUAAAAAUUUUCAAAUAUUAUAAUGGUUAAAAACGGUUUCUAAAAUGACCAUAAAAUGGAAUCUAAAUCUAUUUUAUGAAAGUCCUACAAUAUAAACAAAAUAUAUAAAAGAAAAAUAAUACAAAACAAAAUUUUUAUUAAAAUUAAUAAAUUAUGUGAUACAAUCUUUGUAAUAAUAUUUUUUUGUAAAAGAAUAUAUUUCUCUAAUUCUUUUAACUUGAUCAUAACUUGAAAGAUGACAAUGAAAAUGUUUCUUUGAUCUGAGAGAACAAUCAAUGAUCAUUAAUAACUUGAUUUGGAAUGAACUCGUUUAAAAGCAAAGAUCGCAUAUGAAAUACUUAUGUCAUCUCUUUAACUUGCAAGGAGAUUUCAUUAAGGAAAUUUGUUAAUAAAAAAAUAUUUAUUUAUUUUCAUUAAAAUACUUGUUCAAUUUUAAUAUAGUAUUUUCCCAUAUAUUACCUUUUUAAUACAUGUGACGUUUCAAAAUAGUACUUAUUAUUAAUCCCAAAUUUUAUCCAAAGCCACGUUUUUUUUUAACAUCUUUUUAAUAAUAAUUUAUUUCACCGAAAAUUUGGAUCUAUGACAACUUUCUUCCUUCAAAUUAGAUUCCUUUCUCCUCGGGAUCUGAAUACACGAUGGGACGUGUCUUUUAAAUAGUACAACCAGGAACGUGUCGACUGAAAUUGUAUGCUUGGAUCAGUGAGUUUCUUUUCUCACUGGAAAGUAGAAGGAGGACAACCUUGGCGUCACUCAUGACGUCCAAAGAAACACCACUCCAACUAUAUCUGCGUUCAUACAAGGUACCUUUUUCAACGCAUGGAAAUUGUGCCCUUCCUAUAAUAAAUUGGAGAAUCAAGCUGUCUCCAUAGCUUCUCUUUCUCUCUCGGCAACCAUGCAAACCCAGUCUUGGAUGAUGAUCCUGGCUGCAGUAUGCGCAGCUCUGGUUCACUUCUGUUCAUCAGCAGUGGAGUCCCACUCUGCCCAGGCUGAUCAAAUCAGUAGUUUGCCGGGACAACCCCGAGUCAGCUUUCAACAAUUUUCGGGAUACAUAACCAUAGAUGAAAAGCAGGACAGAUCUUUCUUUUACUACUUUGUUGAAGCGGAAAAUGACACAACUACUUUGAAGCCUCUGGUUGUCUGGUUCAGUGGAGGUAAAAUUUAUGCUUUAAAUUAACUGUAGCUGCUAAAGUUAGAAUCAUUUCUGAGUUUUUAACAGAUCUAGCAUUAAUUUUAUCUUUUUCCUUAUAUAGGACCUGGUUGCUCCUCCGUGGGAGGUGGAGCUUUCGCCCAACAUGGCCCUUUUAGACCCAGUGGAGAUAUCCUACUCACCAAUAAAUACAGUUGGAACAGAGGCACGCCACAAAAUACUUUUCUCUCCUUUUUUAUUUUGUAGGAGGGUGCUACUUGGCUGUAGUCAUGGAAAGGAAAAUGACCCCAAAAGGGGCCGUAGUCAAGUAAUGAACUUCAUAUUUUUUUAUUUCUUUAUGUUACAGAAGCAAACAUGUUAUAUCCGGAGUCACCUGCUGGAACUGGAUUCUCUUAUUCUGCUAAUACGUCCUUCUACACCAACCUAAAUGAUGAGAUUACAGGUUUUUUUUUCCUUUUAAAAUUUCAUCAAGAAUUUAACUAGCGGUUACUGAGAAUUGGUUUCAAUCUGAUACAUUUUUCUAACUGAU
RNAcentral lists this long non-coding RNA (39047 nucleotides) under Vitis vinifera (wine grape). RNAcentral describes it as "long non-coding RNA (VVIN_LNC002513)". Lineage: Eukaryota; Viridiplantae; Streptophyta; Magnoliopsida; Vitales; Vitaceae. The record is from RNAcentral.